This 125-nucleotide small RNA is filed under the name Escherichia coli. RNAcentral's name for it is "partial RtT sRNA". It matches the Rfam family "RtT RNA", at positions 38 to 130 of the family's 130-position model. From Rfam's summary of the family: This family represents a bacterial cis-regulatory element known as RtT RNA. Lineage: Bacteria; Pseudomonadati; Pseudomonadota; Gammaproteobacteria; Enterobacterales; Enterobacteriaceae. The record is from RNAcentral.
CAGGUUCGAAUCCUGCACGACCCACCAGUUUUAGCAUCGAAGACAGAUGUUAAGCGUGUAGGAUAACGUUGCGUCAGCAACGGCCCGUAGGGCGAGCGAAGCGAGUCAUCCUGCACGACCCACCA